UGGGGAAUAUUGCACAAUGGGCGCAAGCCUGAUGCAGCCAUGCCGCGUGUAUGAAGAAGGACUUCGGGUUGUAAAGUACUUUCAGCGGGGAGGAAGGCGAUAAGGUUAAUAACCUUGUCGAUUGACGUUACCCGCAGAAGAAGCACCGGCUAACUCCGUGCCAGCAGCCGCGGUAAUACGGAGGGUGCAAGCGUUAAUCGGAAUUACUGGGCGUAAAGCGCACGCAGGCGGUCUGUCAAGUCGGAUGUGAAAUCCCCGGGCUCAACCUGGGAACUGCAUUCGAAACUGGCAGGCUAGAGUCUUGUAGAGGGGGGUAGAAUUCCAGGUGUAGCGGUGAAAUGCGUAGAGAUCUGGAGGAAUACCGGUGGCGAAGGCGGCCCCCUGGACAAAGACUGACGCUCAGGUGCGAAAGCGUGGGGAGCAAACA
RNAcentral lists this ribosomal RNA (427 nucleotides) under uncultured bacterium. Its description in RNAcentral is "partial 16S ribosomal RNA". It matches the Rfam family "Bacterial small subunit ribosomal RNA", at positions 355 to 774 of the family's 1533-position model. The record is from RNAcentral.